CUUCCCUUGGUCUUUGGCCUAAUGAGGCAACAAUCCCUGGAAGAAGGAAGACAGAAAAAAGACUAACUGUCUUUUGAGAAAUGAACUCUAUUUCUUCCCUCAUUUCCCAAAAUUUCUGCAUCAGAAGAAGUCUAGAGUCAAAACUUCCACUUGGGAUCAGGAUUUUCUCUGAGCCUCUUCUAGAACCAGGCGGCUAGAGAUCCAGUAAUCCACCUCCCGGGGCAGGACCAUUUCAUGCAGUUCAAACUCAGUAAGUAGCACAGGGCUGUUUGUAAAACAUCUUCUGUCCUAGAGACAGAGCAGGAGAAAAGAGGACAAGGAAUAAUUCCUGAUCUGGAGGAGGACAAGGGGAUAUUCCUAUGGAAUUCAUCACUGAGAUCAUGUCUACCACCACAGACCCUGCAGUGACCUUCACACCAGUGACCGAGUUUCUCUGUGCCCGGGUAACCAGGGACAAGGCAGCAAGGCUGAGGAGCUCAGGGUGCAGUGGAGUUUGAUAUGCUCGGCAAUUCCCUUCGGCAGAAACAAAACAAGAAGAUCCUGCUGGGGCUCCUGGGUCUCCAGAAAGUGUUCCGGCAUCAGCUGCCCCGAGCGCCUGAAGAGCACAUCACACGGCCUGUCUGUGACCUGAGGCACAAACCCUGGCUUUAAUUAACGCUGGCUGUGCCACUGCUGGCAGAUCUUUCCACAUGUUCCCACCGCAAGUGUUCACAGAUUGUCCCAUAGCAAAUCCAUGCCCAUCCACAGCAUCGUGUAUUUCCUGCUGUCCCACCAGCUGACCUUUCUAGCAUCUCCCACUCCCUCUACAGAACCUGUGCCCUUUGCCUCCCCCAAACAUCUGGGGUCACCCUGCCUUUGUUUAGGGUGUGUCCCCUCCAGGAGCACCAGGUCUGGUGUCCACCUCUGUGUUCUGCACUUUAAGUCCAUUGCCAGUGCCCAUGACUUUAGGCUGCUACCCAGAAGCCUCCUACCCUUCUGCAGGGUGCCAGCAGUGGGGCAGUACUGGUGCACAGAGGGAAUCACCCUUGAAGGUCUCGGAGGUGCCUCACAGAGCAGUGAGAGACCUCGGGCGCUGGCCCCUGUUCUCAGGCCUCGUACUGUCUCCACCACAGAGAAGUCAUCCCGUUCUGCUCCUAUGUGAUGCUGGACUAAAUUCAAUCUAGCUUGGACCAAAGCUCCCCCUGUCUGAAUGCUUCCAACCCAGGACCAGGACUGUACGUCUCACACAGGAGGCACUAGACAAAUGCCCACCCAAUCACCAAGUGAAAUAACCUCCUUUGGGUUUGGGCCUGGAAUUAGGGUAAGGGAGUCAAGGAAUCUGUUCCACAACACUGGCUGUGGCCUCCCCACUGUGUCCACUGGCCACAAAACAGGAUGACUUGCUCAAGUGAAUGCCAGGUUCCAGAGGCGCAUCUUCCUCAUAUGUACAUGUCUGUGUUUGGCGACACCGCACGGACAGCUCUCAGCUCCUGGUUCAAAUGCCAUUUGAAGUCACUGUUGAGGAUUUCAAGAGUCAGUGGCUGGAAAUGUAGGCUGAGAUGUGUUCAUUCACUCUUAAGUUUCCUCCAUUUAACAAUGAAUGUCUCCCUCUCCUUACAGACUGUACAGCAUUAUUACAGCAUUAUUACUGGCAUCUCCUGCUCCAACAUCCAUGCAGGUGGUUUCCACUCAGGUACCCAGGCAUGGGGGUGAGCCUGGGGUCCACUCAGACACAGACCCUGCCCUGGGGCUUCCACAUCCAGGACAGUGGGUGUGUGAGAUGGGCAGCCCAGCUGGGGCAGGCUGAGUGGUAGUCCAGGCGGAUUCCCGGAAGAGGCAGCUUUGGGGCCGAGUUUUCAAGUCUGCCUGCAGAGAAGGGGCAGAAUGCGCCAGUCCCCCCUCCCUGAGUUUCCAAGGGGCAGGAGACAUAUUCAUGACCUCAGAAGUGUGAGCUUCUGCUUCAGGUUGUCCUGUAGUGGAAAAACCUCUGGAUAAGAGGAGAGAGGCCUCCUCCAAAGUCUGGAUCAGAAAACUGCUGGUCCUUCAUCCUCAGAUGUGUGGCUUGCAGUUCCCCACCUGAAAAAGGCUUUAGGAAUUGCUUUGGGAUGGGUGGUGCAGGGAUGCCCAGGUCUGGCACAUAAGGGAGGAGGUGGCCUGUUCUCCCACUUCCUCUAAGGCCUCCCUCAGACCCCGACAACCGGGAAGGGGGCUGAGGGUCUAUGACAUCAGGAAUCCAGGAUCCUUCGAGCAGGCACAGGCUGCUGACUGAAGACUGUCACUUGCCAUCCCUACCUGUCCAAGCACAGAGACCUUCCUCCAAACCACCAGCUGCAGGCGUCACGCACACCUUAAACAUCAGUUACAGUCUUGGAUCUGAGGGCAUGGCUGGGGCGGAGGCAGAGCCCAUUCACCACCAUUAGCAACAGGAAGAGGCUGUUUCCCAGGUUCCUGCCCAGGCCAGGUAGGUUGGAGGAUCUUCUGUGAGCCCGGGACUUAGGACUCUGCCUGUUCCCACCUCACUGAUGGGGAAGGUGACCCUCAGGAAACUCAAAGCAGCCGCCGAGAUCCCAUGGCUGGUAAGGAGUGGAGCUGCUCCUUCAGCCUCCAGCCCCCAUGCGGCUGCCCAGCUCGUCCCUCUCCUGUGCCUUUCCCUCUCCGGUGAGGUCUGUUGUCUCCCAGCAGCUUCUGGGGGUGAGCGGGACACUUGGCACCCCUCCCCUCCUCUCCCCUGCCCUUCUCCUCUGGGAAGCGAUGCCCACACUGCUGUAAGGGAAGUCCAACAGCACAGGCAAAACUCAGCCCUGUCCAACCACAUCCCAGGACAGUGUCCUUUCCCUUAAGGACACAGCAGGCAGCACUCAGGGACGCAGUGCGUAUUCUUUAUUCUACUGCAGAGGGCGGGAGUGUUUGCUAGGAACUUGCUCCUUGU
Molecule: long non-coding RNA, 2908 nt
Organism: Chinchilla lanigera (long-tailed chinchilla)
Lineage: Eukaryota; Metazoa; Chordata; Mammalia; Rodentia; Chinchillidae
Source: Ensembl